GUCCGGAAGUUCAUGACCAGCCUGGGCAACAUAGUGAGAAACCAUCUCUGCAAAAAGUAAAAAAAUUAGCCAGAUGUGGUGGUGCACACUUGUAGUCCCAGCUACUCCGGAGGCUGAGGCGGGAGAAUUGCUGAGCCUGGGAGGUCGAGCCUGCAGUGAGCUGUGACUAUACCACUGCACCCCAGCCUGACAUGGCUGGGCAAGGUGGCUCAUGCCUGUAAUCCAAGCACUUUGGGAGGCAGAGGUGGGAAGAUCACUUGAGCCUAGGAGUUCGAGACCAGCCUGGACAAUAUAGUGAGACCCUAUCUCUAAAAAAAAAAACAAAAAAAAGAAAAGAAAAAAAUUACCUAGGUGUGGUGGCACACAUCUGUGGUCCCAGCUAUGCAGAAGGCUGAGGUGGGAUAGUUGCUUGAGCCUGGAGGCCCAGGUUGCAGUAAGCCAUAAUCACGCCACUGCACUUCAGUGUGACAGAGCCAGACCCUGUCAAAAAUUUUUUUAAAAGGAGUCCUGAGUGGUGAGUGGCCCUCACACUGCAUGACACAGCUAUGUCUACGUCUCCGUGUGGCUCCAGCUUUCUAGAACACAUCAAGCUUCCCUGACCCAUGCCAUGCCCUCUGGCCUCUGGCCCUUCACUGAAUGCUAUUCCCUCUUCUUCUUGAGAUGGAGUCUCGCUCUGUCGCCCAGGCUGGAGUGAUGUGGCGCGAUCUCUCUUCGCCUGCUGGGUUCAAGCAAUUCUCCAGCCUCAGCCUCCCGAGUAGCUGGGAUUACAGGCACACACCACCAUGCCUAUAUUUUUAGUAGAGAUGGGGUUUCACCAUGUUGGCCAGGCUGGUCAUGAACUCCUGACCUCAGGUGAUCUGCCUGCCUCGGUCUCCCAAAGUGCUGGGAUUACAGGCGUGAGCCACCGUGCCUGGCCUAUUCUCUCUUCUUAGCAUGUUUUCCCCACCUUUUCCUGGCAAUAACCUGUCCUUCAAGUCUUUACUUGGACAUUACCUCCUCCAGGAAACCUUCCCUGAACACCACCCAGCUGCCACCUGCUGUAGUUGGAUUACUCAUUCUCUCACGUAGGUUCCCACAGCAGGUGUCUCCCUCAACCCAACCUGGACGGGGGGCCACCUGGAUUGACAUUCGUCAUCUCUUCCACUGGACCGUGAGCUCCUUGAGGGCAGAUAAGAAAACUGAGGCUCAGAACGGGAAGUUCAUUGCUCAUCAUCAAACAUCCAGGAAAUGGUGGAGCCUGAAUGGGAACUCAGCUUCCAACAUGGCGUGGAUGUGGCCCAUCCCUUGGUGGCCUGGCUGGGUCUAUCUUAUGACAGUACGAGAUUGAAUGUUGGAGUGCCUUGCAGAAGAGAGAGAAAAUGUUGCUAAAACUUCAGGGGAAUGACUGGUCGAAAAUGUUUGACAUUCUUAAACUUGACAGGCCCAGAAACAGAAGGGGCUGGGGACCUGGGCUCCUGGGUCUGAGGGAGGAGGGGUUGGGGCGGGGGGUCUGGACUCUUGGGUCUGAGGAAGGAGGGGCUGGGGGGGAGCCUGGACUCCUGGGUCUGAGGGAGGAGGGGUUGGGGCGGGGGGUCUGGACUCCUGGGUCUGAGGAAGGAGGGGCUGGGGGGGAUCUGGACUCCUGGGCCUGAGGGAGGAGGGGCUGGGGGGAGUCUGGAUUCCUGGGUCUGAGGGAGGAGGGGCUGGCGGCGGGGAGCGGUCUGAACUCCUGGGUCUGAGGGAGGAGGGGCUGGGGGGAGUCUGGACUCCUGGGUCUGAGGAAGGAGGGGCUGGGGGC
This 1777-nucleotide long non-coding RNA is filed under the name Homo sapiens (human). RNAcentral's name for it is "HSALNT0261633". Lineage: Eukaryota; Metazoa; Chordata; Mammalia; Primates; Hominidae. The record is from RNAcentral.